AAAGUCGUAACAAGGUUUCCGUAGGUGAACCUGCGGAAGGAUCAUUAUCGAGUAAAACCGAAGUGAACUGCGCUGGCACUGCAAGUGCGCGUUCGCUCUCGUCCACUCACCCCUGUGCACCUUUGGAGGAUGACCGGAAAGCUCUCUCGAGGGUUGGAAAGUCGCCUCUCUUUACACAAACACUUAACAGUUUAUAGAAUGUAACUUUGCUUAACGCAAUAACAUACAACUUUCAACAACGGAUCUCUUGGCUCUC
RNAcentral lists this unclassified non-coding RNA (256 nucleotides) under Basidiomycota sp. RNAcentral describes it as "partial contains small subunit ribosomal RNA, internal transcribed spacer 1, and 5.8S ribosomal RNA". The stretch from base 1 to 47 matches the Rfam family "Eukaryotic small subunit ribosomal RNA", at positions 1785 to 1831 of the family's 1831-position model. The record is from RNAcentral. Lineage: Eukaryota; Fungi; Basidiomycota.